CAUCUCUCUCACAACUCACAUCUCACCAGAUCUCAUCCGCCCCCAACUCCAUGCUUUCUCUCUCCCAGGCGAUUUCUAGAUCUAGGGUUUCAAUAACCCUGAAUCGUUCAUUUUCUCUCAAUCCGACAGAAGAUCCAGUGGGGUUGACCUCUAGAAGAUCCACUGGGUUUUUCUCUAAUCGGCACAAGAUCCACUGUGGAUGACAUCUAGGUACCGUUAUAAAACCACAUCUAAUGUUUUUUGUUUGUUAUUUGAGUCUGAUUUGGAUCUGGUUAAAAUUCUGUUUGCGAGGCAAUGCUUGAACGGGUCUCUGACAUGAUGGAAAAGGAUUUGAUUCUUGUUGGUGCAACUGGUAUAAACCAUCUUCUCUGAGAUCGGUUGUUGCUUAUGUUAAUCCUCAUCGUCUUCUGUUCAGAUCUUGUUUUAAUACCGAUCUGCGAAAGUUUUGGAUGAUUCUGGAUUUGUUAUUGUGUUAGGAGAUGUCGUGUUCCUCAAGCCUGAACAGGGCUAUGAGGUUUUGAAGAGAGUUGUUGAUGUGAUUGGGCAAUAUGAUAGAAAAAAGCUUGAGCAAUUAAGCGGCUGCCACCUGCUGCUGUUGUUGAAGGUUUCUGUAUGCAUUAUGGCUUUGCAUUGAUGACGGUUGAUGUAAAUUCAGAGAAUGAAACUGCGACUGAAUUUGGUUUUGUGGCAGCGAUUGACCGAUGACAUUUUGUCGAUUCAGUUGUUGACUUGGAUCGGUCAACUGUUGAUGAGGCUACAUCAUCGAGGCUAAUGGGCUCAUGGUGAUGGCUUGUGGCAGUUUCUGUAACAGGUCAAGUGGCAUUGUUGACCUUUGACUAUUGAACUGCAAGUUGUUU
Molecule: long non-coding RNA, 857 nt
Organism: Helianthus annuus (common sunflower)
Lineage: Eukaryota; Viridiplantae; Streptophyta; Magnoliopsida; Asterales; Asteraceae
Exons: 5
Source: RefSeq, a predicted model, not a curated record